AGAAAGGAUGCAGACUACUGGCUCUCAGAGGAUUGCUACCUGGUGAGAGUGGACACACAAGAGAGCCUGAGAGCUUUAACUGAGAGUUGAAGUUAUUCUGGAGGAGGAAGAAGGUGGUGUGACCAACCCAUGAGGGUUUGCAUCGGGGGACAAAUGUUGAGUGCAGCAUUUGAAUGGCACGCCGUCUUCUCCAGACAGGCAAGAAGAAAGAGGGCUUUGUAGCUAGAGGAAGAGCAUGCGCAAUGGCAAGGGAGACGCAAAGGCUCAGUGUUUGCCCAGAGUGAGCUGCUUUUGGAGUGGUCAUGAAUUAAAAUGGAUAUCCAACUGUUCCAUGAGGCAACGAAUGGGGAUUUUACAUAUUAAAUCAGCAUUGUCUGCUGGAGCUCUCUGCUACCUGGGAAGGCUCUGCAUUUGGGCUGUCAAAGCCACAAGCUCAGACAAUGAAGAUGGCAAACUGAAGUCUUCCUCUAUAGGCACAACUUUGCAUCAGACAUUUGAUGGGAGAGGUCCAUCUUUGAAGGGAAGUUUUAUUUAAGUCUGUCCCUGGAUCCACAUCAUCCGUACGUCUGUCUACAGGGCAAAAAACUUCAUCUUUCAUGAGUGCAAUUUCAAACUUGGUGCCAACGAGAGACAUCUUCCCUGGACUCAAAUGCGCGAAGCCUGAACAGGACAUCUUGAGUGUUAGCUUCUCUGGGAUGGCUGCGGUGUGCAGCACAUUUUUGUUAAGGUGUUAUUCAAAGUUUCUGAUUAACAUAAGUUUUUCUUAAAAUUAUACAAAAACAUAAUACCAUGAUUAUGGAAAUAAAAAGCCACCCACAAGCUUACUAUCUUUA
Molecule: long non-coding RNA, 833 nt
Organism: Mus musculus (house mouse)
Lineage: Eukaryota; Metazoa; Chordata; Mammalia; Rodentia; Muridae
Product: predicted gene, 31583
Exons: 4
Source: RefSeq, marked validated